Molecule: ribosomal RNA, 1372 nt
Filed under: uncultured bacterium
Lineage: Bacteria
Description: bacterial SSU rRNA
Rfam family: Bacterial small subunit ribosomal RNA
Source: RNAcentral
GAUGAACGCUGGCGGCGUGCCUAAUACAUGCAAGUCGAGCGAACGGACGAGAAGCUUGCUUCUCUGAUGUUAGCGGCGGACGGGUGAGUAACACGUGGAUAACCUACCUAUAAGACUGGGAUAACUUCAGGAAACCGUAGCUAAUACCGGAUAAUAUUUUGAACCGCAUGGCUCAAAAGUGAAAGACGGUCUUGCUGUCACUUAUAGAUGGAUCCGCGCUGCAUUAGCUAGUUGGUAAGGUAACGGCUUACCAAGGCAACGAUGCAUAGCCGACCUGAGAGGGUGAUCGGCCACACUGGAACUGAGACACGGUCCAGACUCCUACGGGAGGCAGCAGUAGGGAAUCUUCCGCAAUGGGCGAAAGCCUGACGGAGCAACGCCGCGUGAGUGAUGAAGGUCUUCGGAUCGUAAAACUCUGUUAUUAGGGAAGAACAUAUGUGUAAGUAACUGUGCACAUCUUGACGGUACCUAAUCAGAAAGCCACGGCUAACUACGUGCCAGCAGCCGCGGUAAUACGUAGGUGGCAAGCGUUAUCCGGAAUUAUUGGGCGUAAAGCGCGCGUAGGCGGUUUUUUAAGUCUGAUGUGAAAGCCCACGGCUCAACCGUGGAGGGUCAUUGGAAACUGGAAAACUUGAGUGCAGAAGAGGAAAGUGGAAUUCCAUGUGUAGCGGUGAAAUGCGCAGAGAUAUGGAGGAACACCAGUGGCGAAGGCGACUUUCUGGUCUGUAACUGACGCUGAUGUGCGAAAGCGUGGGGAUCAAACAGGAUUAGAUACCCUGGUAGUCCACGCCGUAAACGAUGAGUGCUAAGUGUUAGGGGGUUUCCGCCCCUUAGUGCUGCAGCUAACGCAUUAAGCACUCCGCCUGGGGAGUACGACCGCAAGGUUGAAACUCAAAGGAAUUGACGGGGACCCGCACAAGCGGUGGAGCAUGUGGUUUAAUUCGAAGCAACGCGAAGAACCUUACCAAAUCUUGACAUCCUUUGACAACUCUAGAGAUAGAGCCUUCCCCUUCGGGGGACAAAGUGACAGGUGGUGCAUGGUUGUCGUCAGCUCGUGUCGUGAGAUGUUGGGUUAAGUCCCGCAACGAGCGCAACCCUUAAGCUUAGUUGCCAUCAUUAAGUUGGGCACUCUAAGUUGACUGCCGGUGACAAACCGGAGGAAGGUGGGGAUGACGUCAAAUCAUCAUGCCCCUUAUGAUUUGGGCUACACACGUGCUACAAUGGACAAUACAAAGGGCAGCGAAACCGUGAGGUCAAGCAAAUCCCAUAAAGUUGUUCUCAGUUCGGAUUGUAGUCUGCAACUCGACUACAUGAAGCUGGAAUCGCUAGUAAUCGUAGAUCAGCAUGCUACGGUGAAUACGUUCCCGGGUCU